GACAUGGGCUGCGCCAAGCUACAGU
Molecule: non-coding RNA, 25 nt
Filed under: Rattus norvegicus (Norway rat)
Lineage: Eukaryota; Metazoa; Chordata; Mammalia; Rodentia; Muridae
Source: RNAcentral